UACGUAGGGUGCGAGCGUUGUUCGGAAUCACUGGGCGUAAAGGGCGCGUAGGCGGCCGAUCAAGUCGGGGGUGAAAGCCUGUGGCUUAACCACAGAAUGGCCUUCGAUACUGUUUGGCUUGAGACCGGAAGAGGUUAGUGGAACUGCGAGUGUAGAGGUGAAAUUCGUAGAUAUUCGCAAGAACACCAGUGGCGAAGGCGGCUGACUGGUCCGGUUCUGACGCUGAGGCGCGAAAGCGUGGGGAGCAAACAGG
This 253-nucleotide ribosomal RNA is filed under the name uncultured bacterium. RNAcentral describes it as "partial 16S ribosomal RNA". It matches the Rfam family "Bacterial small subunit ribosomal RNA", at positions 524 to 776 of the family's 1533-position model. The record is from RNAcentral.